Molecule: long non-coding RNA, 419 nt
Organism: Oncorhynchus tshawytscha (Chinook salmon)
Lineage: Eukaryota; Metazoa; Chordata; Actinopteri; Salmoniformes; Salmonidae
Source: Ensembl
AGCAGGCUAAGAUGACAACAAUACCUGCCAAUGACGUUUCCCAGUUGCUUUAAAUGUUCAAAAUCAUAGGGUAAGAACUUUUCAAGCCUCAAAGGAUAAGACGAUCCAACUUUCAAAAUGAGUCCUAGGAACUGGGUUCUACAGUUUGACCCAACUGCUGUCUCUGGCUCCACACCCACCCCACCCGGCCAUCUAGAUGUGUGAAGGUCAUCAGGUUGCUGAUUAUCCCGCACACCUGUCACCAUCGUCUCGUGCACCUGCGCCUCAUGACACUCACCUGGACUCCAUCACCUCCUUGAUUAUCUUCCCUAUAUCUGUCACUCUCCUUGGUUCUUUCCACAGGUGUUAUUGACUCUGUUUUCGUGUCGGUGCGUUGUUUGUGUUUUGUGUGCAUUGUUUCUUUUAUUUAUUAAAACACU